CCUACGGGGGGCAGCAGUGAGGAAUAUUGGUCAAUGGGCGUACGCCUGAACCAGCCAAGUCGCGUGAGGGAAGACUGCCCUAUGGGUUGUAAACCUCUUUUGUCAGGGAGCAACGCCGGCUACGUGUAGCCGGACGGAGAGUACCUGAAGAAAAAGCAUCGGCCAACUCCGUGCCAGCAGCCGCGGUAAUACGGAGGAUGCGAGCGUUAGCCGGAUUUAUGGGGUUGAAAGGGUGCGUAGGCGGAAUGCCAAGUCAGCGGUAAAAUCGCGGGGCUCCACCUCGCUCCGCCGUUGAAACUGGCGUUCUUGAGUGGGCGCGACGUCUGCGGACUGCGUGGUGUAGCGG
Molecule: ribosomal RNA, 346 nt
Filed under: uncultured bacterium
Lineage: Bacteria
Description: partial 16S ribosomal RNA
Rfam family: Bacterial small subunit ribosomal RNA
Source: RNAcentral